UGCCCUAGUAACGGCGAGUGAAGCGGCAACAGCUCAAAUUUGAAAUCUGGCCCUCGCGGUCCGAGUUGUAAUUUGUAGAGGAUGCUUUGGGCGCGGCGCCUUCCGAGUUCCCUGGAACGGGACGCCAGAGAGGGUGAGGGCCCCGUACGGUUGGACGCCUAGCCUAUGUAUAGCUCCUUCGACGAGUCGAGUAGUUUGGGAAUGCUGCUCUAAAUGGGAGGUAAAUUUCUUCUAAAGCUAAAUACCGGCCAGAGACCGAUAGCGCACAAGUAGAGUGAUCGAAAGAUGAAAAGCACUUUGAAAAGAGGGUUAAAUAGCACGUGAAAUUGUUGAAAGGGAAGCGUUUGCGACCAGACCUUCUCCGGGGGGAUCAUCCGGUGUUCUCACCGGUGCACUCCCCUCGGUCUAGGCCAGCAUCGGUUUCCUUAGGGGGAUAAAGGCCUGGGGAACGUAGCUCCUUCGGGAGUGUUAUAGCCCCUUGCGUAAUACCCCUCGGGGGACCGAGGACCGCGCUUCGGCAAGGAUGCUGGCGUAAUGGUCGUCAACGACCCGUCUUGAAACACGGACCAAGGAGUCGAACAUUUGUGCGAGUGUUUGGGUGUUAAACCCUCACGCGUAAUGAAAGUGAACGGAGGUGAGAGCCCUCGCGGGUGCAUCAUCGACCGAUCCUGAUGUCUUCGGAUGGAUUUGAGUAAGAGCAUAACUGUUCGGACCCGAAAGAUAGUGAACUAUGCGUGGAUAGGGUGAAGCCAGAGGAAACUCUGGUGGAGGCUCGCAGCGGUUCUGACGUGCAAAUCGAUCGUCAAAUCUGCGCAUGGGGGCGAAAGACUAAUCGAACUAUCUAGUAGCUGGUUACCGCCGAAGUUUCCCUCAGGAUAGCAGUGUUGUCUUCAGUUUUAUGAGGUAAAGCGAAUGAUUAGGGACUCGGGGGCGCUAUAUUGCCUUCAUCCAUUCUCAAACUUUAAAUAUGUAAGAAGCCCUUGUUACUUAGUUGAACGUGGGCAUUCGAAUGUACCAACACUAGUGGGCCAUUUUUGGUAAGCAGAACUGGCGAUGCGGGAUGAACCGAACGCGGGGUUAAGGUGCCAGAGUGGACGCUCAUCAGACACCACAAAAGGUGUUAGUACAUCCUGACAGCAGGACUGUGGCCAUGGAAGUCGGAAUCAGCUAAGGACUGUGUAACAACUCACCUGCCGAAUGUACUAGCCCUGAAAAUGGAUGGCGCUCAAGCGUCUCACCCAUACCUCGCCCUUAGGGUAGAAUCGAUGCCCUAAGGAGUAGGCGGCCGUGGAGGUCAGUGACGAAGCC
This 1308-nucleotide ribosomal RNA is filed under the name Hypoxylon hinnuleum. RNAcentral's name for it is "partial large subunit ribosomal RNA". It matches the Rfam family "Eukaryotic large subunit ribosomal RNA", at positions 76 to 1410 of the family's 3401-position model. Lineage: Eukaryota; Fungi; Ascomycota; Sordariomycetes; Xylariales; Hypoxylaceae. The record is from RNAcentral.